CUGCAAUGUAUAGGGACGGCCACGUUAUAAUAUGGUGGACGGAUACGGUUUCUACAGCAACGUUCAAGUACAGCGCCUGACAAACUUGUCAAGAGUUUUUAUUGCAACCAAUUUCGAUACUUUACUGGCCAGAAGGCAUUCCUGUGAACCCACUGUGCACGCACAAAAAUAAGUUCCUGCCACGUACAGAAGAUCCCCUUUGGCUAGAGCCAUGCCAGAAAGCCUUAUGUGGCCUGAAAGUGAGAAAAUACAGCGAGGAGCUGCUAACCGGCAGAGUGUCAGGCGUCGGCACCCCACCCAUCUGAUAUUAGUGACCUAUCCUAAGGAUUGGUCGUCAAUAAAAUAGUCCUGGAAAACCCCUUUAACAUAGCUGAAACUUAGAUUUUGAUAGGAAGGUUACAAGGUGACCAGUAAUGACCAGAAGCUCUGAAAUAUUAAAGAUAUAAAAUAGAAAUUCCUGUACGAAAUCUCAGAUACAACCAGUGUCUUAGGGUAGAGGACAGAAAAGAGAGACU
Molecule: long non-coding RNA, 515 nt
Organism: Hyla sarda
Lineage: Eukaryota; Metazoa; Chordata; Amphibia; Anura; Hylidae
Exons: 5
Source: RefSeq, a predicted model, not a curated record